Lucilia sericata (common green bottle fly) is the source of this 1212-nucleotide RNA transcript. It is a transcript of the gene named ion transport peptide, with no coding region annotated. Lineage: Eukaryota; Metazoa; Arthropoda; Insecta; Diptera; Calliphoridae. The record is from RefSeq and is a predicted model, not a curated record. The transcript has 2 exons.
AAUUUGCUGGCAAAUAUAUUAAUGUAUUAAUUUACAACAAAACAAAAAAAUAUAUUUAAAACAAAAUACUACAAACAAACAAAAACAAAAAAAAAAAAUGAAAUGAAAACUAAUGAAAAAUAUUGUGAUAGAACACGUUAAAAACACUCCUUUAUUUACUAUUACUAUAUAAAAAAACAUUUAUAUAAGUAUGUAUACAAAACAAAAACAUAUAUACAUACAUAUGUGGAAAAAAUAAAAAGAAAAGCCUAAAAAAAUGGAAAAAAUAUAUAAUCAUUGUAAAAUCCUAUAUUAUGUAUUUAUAUUCAUUAUAUAUUCUACCAAAACUCUGUGAAUGAGGAACAAAAACAAAAAAAAAAAGAAUUAUAAUAUCAACGGCAGCUUUUUUUUUAAUUAUAAAGUCAACAGACUGUGGAAACUUCUUUUUUUUAACAAAAAAAAAAAAAAAAAUAUUACAUAUGCAAUGUUGCUUGUUCAUCAACGUCAUCAUCAUCAUCAACUACUCCACUACUUCUAGAGAAUAUAAACAGAGGGAUUAUUAUGAUGAAACUCAUAUUUGAAAAAAAUAUAUAAUUUGUUUUAUUUUAUUCGACAAGAUUGCUUUGGCUCACCAUUCUUCAAUGCCUGCAUAGAGGCGUUACAAUUGCAUGAGGAAAUGGAUAAAUAUAAUGAAUGGCGUGAUACCUUGGGCAAAAAGUAAAUGGUUAACAGCAACUUAUAUAUAAACGGUCUAUAACUCUAACAAACUCCCGCUUACUCAUCCCUGCAAACAACAAACAAAAUUCUACAAUAUUCCAGAAACAAUGGUUUAACAGAAAAUACUAUUAAAAAAAAAUACAAAAAAAAAAAGUAUUAUAAAAUUUUUUUUUAUUUAAAUAUUAUAAUAAUUUUGAAUUAUAUUAAAAGAAAUAGGUACCUAAAAAAAUGUUGUUUUAGAAAAAAAUUUAAAAAAAAAUUGAUGUAUUUGGCAAAAAGAAACCUAAAAUUAAUAAAUAUAUUUGCAUAUACGUAUAAACAAAAACAAAACAUAAACAAAAAUAUUUAAUAAUAUCUUUAUAUAUGUAAAUGUAAGUAUAAUCCAAAAACGCCUAAACUUUGUACAGCUUUUUUUAUUUUUUUAAUAAAACUUUAAAAAUCUUACUCAAACAUUCAAUUUACUACAAGUAUUUCGAAAUUUGUCUGAUGUAAAUAAGUUUAACAUUUAUGUUUACA